UCUCCGUUGGUGAACCAGCGGAGGGAUCAUUACAGGACUCGCAAGACUCCUACAACCCUGUGAACUUAACUAUAAGCACGUUGCUUCGGCGGGUGUCUCGGAGAGGGUUCUCCCUCCCCGAGACGCUAAACCCGCCGGCAGCCUACUAUACUCUGUCUCUUUGCGUUGGCAUCUCGAGUACAAUCAAACAAGUUAAAACUUUCAACAACGGAUCUCUUGGUUCUG
Molecule: unclassified non-coding RNA, 225 nt
Filed under: plant metagenome
Description: partial contains small subunit ribosomal RNA, internal transcribed spacer 1, and 5.8S ribosomal RNA
Source: RNAcentral